CCUCUGAGUAAACUGGACCGCAUAAAUGUCACCUAUCUAACUGGAAUGAAAAUGGUGGUGGGACACACUCCAUAUGUGCGGCUUGUAUUUGGCUUCCUAUUUGCUUCACUAGCCUUCCAGAUGGCUCAGGGGAAUUUUGCCCUUUUCUGUACUCACGCAGCGAAUAUGGGAGCAUAUUUCCAGCAUCUUGUUCUUAUAUUACUGACAUCAGCUACAAUAUCCAUCCCAAUGUGGCAGACACUUCUG
Sinocyclocheilus grahami is the source of this 246-nucleotide long non-coding RNA. RefSeq lists it as uncharacterized. The record is from RefSeq and is a predicted model, not a curated record. The transcript is spliced from 3 exons. NCBI's taxonomy places the organism in Eukaryota, Metazoa, Chordata, Actinopteri, Cypriniformes, Cyprinidae.